This 459-nucleotide ribosomal RNA is filed under the name uncultured bacterium. RNAcentral describes it as "partial 16S ribosomal RNA". It matches the Rfam family "Bacterial small subunit ribosomal RNA", at positions 338 to 795 of the family's 1533-position model. The record is from RNAcentral.
CCUACGGGGUGCAGCAGUGAGGAAUAUUGGUCAAUGGACGGAAGUCUGAACCAGCCAUGCCGCGUGCAGGAAGACGGCUCUAUGAGUUGUAAACUGCUUUUGUACAAGGGUAAACCUGAAUACAUGUAUUCAGCUGAAAGUACUGUACGAAUAAGGAUCGGCUAAUUCGUGCCAGGAGCCGCGGUAAUACGGGGGAACCAAGCGUUUACCGGAUUUUGUGGGUUUAAAGGGUUGGUAGGCGGAUUGAUAAGUUAGAGGUGAAAUGUCCGAGCUUACAUCGGGAACUGCCUCUAAUACUGUUGUUCUAGAGAGUAGAUGCGGUAGGCGGAAUGUAUGGUGUAGCGGUGAAAUGCUUAGAGAUCAUACAGAACACCGAUUGCGAAGGCAGCUUACCAAUCUAUAUCUGACGUUGAGGCACGAAAGCGUGGGGAGCAAACAGGAUUAGAUACCCUGGUAGUC